AGAGUUUGAUCCUGGCUCAGAACGUACGCUGGCGGCACGCCUAACACAUGCAAGUCGAACGAAGUAGCAAUACUUAGUGGCAGACGGGUGAGUAACAUGUAGGUAUCUGCCCUUUGGCCUGGAAUAACACGAGGAAACUUGUGCUAAUACCGGAUAAGUCUUCACGGAGAAAGCUUUAUGCACCAUUGGAUGAGCCUGCACUUGAUUAGUUUGUUGGUGGGGUAAUGGCCUACCAAGACUAUGAUCAAUAGCUGAUUUGAGAGGAUGAUCAGCCACAUUGGGACUGAGACACGGCCCAAACUCCUACGGGAGGCAGCAGUGGGGAAUCUUGCACAAUGGAGGAAACUCUGAUGCAGCGAUGCCGCGUGAGUGAAGAAGGCCCUUGGGUUGUAAAGCUCUUUCGUCGGGGAAGAAAAUGACUGUACCCGAAUAAGAAGGUCCGGCUAACUUCGUGCCAGCAGCCGCGGUAAUACGAAGGGACCUAGCGUAGUUCGGAAUUACUGGGCUUAAAGAGUUCGUAGGUGGUUGAAAAAGUUGGUGGUGAAAUCCCAGAGCUUAACUCUGGAACUGCCAUCAAAACUUUUCAGCUAGAGUAUGAUAGAGGAAAGCAGAAUUUCUAGUGUAGAGGUGAAAUUCGUANAUAUUANAAAGAAUACCNAAUGCGAAGGCAGCUUUCUGGAUCAUUACUGACNCUGAGGAACGAAGC
This 706-nucleotide ribosomal RNA is filed under the name uncultured Alphaproteobacteria bacterium. RNAcentral describes it as "bacterial SSU rRNA". It matches the Rfam family "Bacterial small subunit ribosomal RNA", at positions 8 to 760 of the family's 1533-position model. The record is from RNAcentral. Lineage: Bacteria; Pseudomonadati; Pseudomonadota; Alphaproteobacteria.